Non-coding RNA from Acanthosepion pharaonis, 114 nucleotides. The record is from the annotation of a GenBank genome assembly. NCBI's taxonomy places the organism in Eukaryota, Metazoa, Mollusca, Cephalopoda, Sepiida, Sepiidae.
UUACGGUCAUAUCACGUUAAAAUAUCGGUUCUCAUACGAACAUCUAACUUAAGCAACGUCGAGCCUUGUCAGUACCUAGAUGGGUGACAGCUUGGAAAUACCAUGUGCUGUAGG